This 484-nucleotide long non-coding RNA is filed under the name Brassica napus (rape). Its description in RNAcentral is "long non-coding RNA (BNAP_LNC025023)". Lineage: Eukaryota; Viridiplantae; Streptophyta; Magnoliopsida; Brassicales; Brassicaceae. The record is from RNAcentral.
CGGUUUUGGUUUAGGGUCUAGGAUUUGGGUUUACAGUUUGAGUUUAGAGUUUAAGAUUUGGGUUUAUAGUAUGAGGUUUGGGUUUAAGGUUUACUAUUUGGGUUUAGGGUAUAUGAUUUAGGUUUAGUAUUUAGGGGUUAGAUUUUGGGUUUAGAAUUUAGGAUUUAUGAUUUUGUUAGCAUCAUUCUUUUUCAACUAUUUUAAAAUUUUUAAAUAAAAUUUAAUAUCUUUUUAUUAAUUAUCUAGAUGGCACUUUGAUUGGUAGUAAGAGGGGUGGUGAAUUUAAAGUUUCAGCGCAUGGGGUGAACCUAAAUUUUAUCCUUUCAAAUAUGUGUAAUUGUUUGUGUUAUAGAAACUCGUGCGCGAUUUUGUAUGACCUCUUAUAAAAUCGCUACAGGAGAAUAACAAAUAUGUGAUUGAUGUAACAAAUCCGUUUUUAGUAAUUCCGCACUUGAAUCCGCACUUAAGUUGUCACCAUUCACUA